AAAAAAAAAAAAAAUCGAAAUCCAAAAAAGGGAAAGCAUAUGAAAAGAUAGUCACGAAAUGGAAAUAAUGGGAACAACAAUGAAUCUUCUAAGCCAAGCUCUUCCCGGAGCAUUAUCUGCAACUCAUCGUUGUUCCCUCAAAUUCACUCACCCAAUCCCUCCCCUUUUUACCCAUCGCCGGCCCACUAAACUCAGCCCAAUUAACGGCCCGUUAAAACCCCUCACUAUUGCUAACGCUGAAUCUUCUUCCGGUCAAAGUUCUACUGUUACUACUACGUCCGGGUCGGGUAACGGGUCGUCUUCUUUUGGCCCGGAUGAACCGAUUUCGUUUGUGGGUCAAGAUAGUGUUCCUCUUGAAGGGGUUAUACAGUUUGAGAAACCUGAUUCUAAUAACUUUAGGGACAAGCUUAAUAAAUGGGGCUGGGUGGCGUUGUUAGCUGGUGGAGAUGUUGCGGCUAUUUUAUUGUUCUCUGCAAUUGGAAGGUUCAGUCACGGAUUCUCUGUGUUUGAUCCUGAUACACUGCGAACUGCUGAUCCUUUCAUUGCUGGUUGGCUUUUGAGUGCAUAUUUCCUUGGAGGAUUUGGGGAGGAUGGUAGAGGAAAGAAUGGUCUGUUUAAGGCUUUCAUUGCUGCUACCAAAUCAUGGUCAUUAGGCAUUCCGGUGGGUUUAGCUAUAAGGGCUGCCAGUGUGGGUCAUAUACCACCAGUCAACUUCAUAAUAGUUACCAUGGGGAGUACUGCUGUAUUACUUAUUGGAUGGAGGACACUCUUGUUCAGUAUUUUACCAACCGACAAGCCGAAGAAGAAUGAUGUUUAUAAGAGCGGAAGCCCUUUUGAACUUUUUGAGUUGCUGACAUCGUUGGUAAGAAGAUGGUGAUUGUGGUAGCCGUGCAGGCGACGUUUUAUUGCUGAUUAUAUUAUUUCUAACGGAAAUUUUCCAGUGAUGUACAUGUCAUUUCUCGUUAUUUGUACAUGUAAGAGACUUGACUAGUGCAGUUUCCAUCCUUCCCUCAUUAUACUACAGGUUACUUAAAUUGGUGCACGAAAA
Lycium ferocissimum is the source of this 1048-nucleotide RNA transcript. RefSeq lists it as uncharacterized. NCBI's taxonomy places the organism in Eukaryota, Viridiplantae, Streptophyta, Magnoliopsida, Solanales, Solanaceae. The transcript is spliced from 6 exons. The record is from RefSeq and is a predicted model, not a curated record.